RNAcentral lists this ribosomal RNA (253 nucleotides) under uncultured bacterium. RNAcentral's name for it is "partial 16S ribosomal RNA". It matches the Rfam family "Bacterial small subunit ribosomal RNA", at positions 524 to 776 of the family's 1533-position model. The record is from RNAcentral.
UACAGGGGGUGCAAACGUUGCUCGGAAUCAUUGGGCGUAAAGCGCACGUAGGCGGUUCGUUAUGUCGGAUGUGAAAGCCCUUGGCUUAACCGAGGAAGUGCAUCCGAAACUGGCGAGCUAGGGUACUAAAGAGGAUCGCGGAAUUCCCGGUGUAGAGGUGAAAUUCGUAGAUAUCGGGAGGAACACCGGUGGCGAAGGCGGCGAUCUGGGUAGAUACUGACGCUGAGGUGCGAAAGCGUGGGGAGCAAACAGG